UACGUAGGGGGCGAGCGUUGUCCGGAAUCAUUGGGCGUAAAGAGCGUGUAGGCGGCUUGGCAAGUCUGACGUGAAAGCCCGCGGCUCAACCGCGGAUUGUCGUUGGAAACUGCCUCGCUAGAGUCCGGAAGAGGAGAGCGGAAUUCCUGGUGUAGCGGUGGAAUGCGCAGAUAUCGGGAGGAACACCUGUGGCGAAAGCGGCUCACUGGACCACAACUGACGCUGAGGCGCGAAAGCUAGGGGAGCAAACAGG
This 253-nucleotide ribosomal RNA is filed under the name uncultured bacterium. RNAcentral describes it as "partial 16S ribosomal RNA". It matches the Rfam family "Bacterial small subunit ribosomal RNA", at positions 524 to 776 of the family's 1533-position model. The record is from RNAcentral.